UAAACCGUACUGAAAACCGACACAGGUGGUCAGGUAGAGAAUACUCAGGCGCUUGAGAGAACUCGGGUGAAGGAACUAGGCAAAAUAGCACCGUAACUUCGGGAGAAGGUGCGCUGGCGUAGGUUGUAGGAGUAUACCUCCGAAGGCUGAACCAGUCGAAGAUACCAGCUGGCUGCAACUGUUUAUUAAAAACACAGCACUCUGCAAACACGAAAGUGGACGUAUAGGGUGUGAUGCCUGCCCGGUGCUGGAAGGUUAAUUGAUGGUGUUAUCGAAAGAGAAGCUCCUGAUCGAAGCCCCAGUAAACGGCGGCCGUAACUAUAACGGUCCUAAGGUAGCGAAAUUCCUUGUCGGGUAAGUUCCGACCUGCACGAAUGGCAUAAUGAUGGCCAGGCUGUCUCCACCCGAGACUCAGUGAAAUUGAAAUCGCCGUGAAGAUGCGGUGUACCCGCGGCUAGACGGAAAGACCCCGUGAACCUUUACUAUAGCUUGACACUGAACAUUGAAUUUUGAUGUGUAGGAUAGGUGGGAG
This 532-nucleotide ribosomal RNA is filed under the name Glaesserella parasuis. RNAcentral's name for it is "partial 23S ribosomal RNA". It matches the Rfam family "Bacterial large subunit ribosomal RNA", at positions 1638 to 2153 of the family's 2925-position model. Lineage: Bacteria; Pseudomonadati; Pseudomonadota; Gammaproteobacteria; Pasteurellales; Pasteurellaceae. The record is from RNAcentral.